Molecule: ribosomal RNA, 810 nt
Filed under: uncultured bacterium
Lineage: Bacteria
Description: bacterial SSU rRNA
Rfam family: Bacterial small subunit ribosomal RNA
Source: RNAcentral
AGAGUUUAUCCUGGCUCAGGAUGAACGCUGGCGGCGUGCCUAAUACAUGCAAGUCGAACGAGGUGCUUUUGUAGCAAUACGAGAGUAUCCUAGUGGCGAACGGGUGAGUAACGCGUUGGUGACCUACCCCAAAGUGUGGGAUAACAGUCCGAAAGGAUUGCUAAUACCGCAUGUGGUCAUUGGAUUUAGAAACUGAUGACUAAAGGAGCAAUUCGCUUUGGGAGGGACCUGCGUCCCAUCAGCUAGUUGGUGAGGUAACGGCUCACCAAGGCGACGACGGGUAGGGGACCUGAGAGGGUGACCCCCCACAAUGGAACUGAAACACGGUCCAUACACCUACGGGUGGCAGCAGUAGGGAAUAUUGCACAAUGGGCGAAAGCCUGAUGCAGCAACGCCGCGUGUGUGAUGAAGGCCUUCGGGUCGUAAAGCACUUUUCUGGGAGAUGAGAAAGGACAGUAUCUCAGGAAUAAGUCUCGGCUAACUACGUGCCAGCAGCCGCGGUAAAACGUAGGAGGCAAGCGUUAUCCGGAUUCACUGGGCGUAAAGCGCGUGCAGGUGGUGCGGUAAGUUAGGCGUGAAAUCUCCCGGCUCAACUGGGAGAGGUCGUCUAAUACUACCGUACUUGAGAGCAGAAGAGGAAGAUGGAAUUCCCGGUGUAGUGGUGAAAUGCGUAGAUAUCGGGAGAAACACCGGUGGCGAAGGCGGCUUUCUGGACAGUAACUGACGCUGAGGCGCGAAAGCUAGGGGAGCAAACAGGAUUAGAUACCCUGGUAGUCCUAGCCCUAAACGAUGGAUACUUGGUGUGAGGGG